UACGUAGGGGGCGAGCGUUGUCCGGAUUUAUUGGGCGUAAAGAGCUCGUAGGCGGUUCGGUAAGUCGGAUGUGAAAUCUCCACGCUCAACGUGGAGGGGCCAUUCGAUACUGCCGUGACUCGAGUCCGGUAGGGGAGUGUGGAAUUCCCGGUGUAGCGGUGAAAUGCGCAGAGAUCGGGAGGAACACCCGUAGCGAAGGCGGCACUCUGGGCCGGAACUGACGCUGAGGAGCGAAAGCGUGGGGAGCAAACAGG
RNAcentral lists this ribosomal RNA (254 nucleotides) under uncultured bacterium. RNAcentral's name for it is "partial 16S ribosomal RNA". It matches the Rfam family "Bacterial small subunit ribosomal RNA", at positions 524 to 776 of the family's 1533-position model. The record is from RNAcentral.